RNAcentral lists this ribosomal RNA (243 nucleotides) under uncultured Actinomycetales bacterium. RNAcentral's name for it is "partial 16S ribosomal RNA". It matches the Rfam family "Bacterial small subunit ribosomal RNA", at positions 88 to 334 of the family's 1533-position model. Lineage: Bacteria; Bacillati; Actinomycetota; Actinomycetes; Actinomycetales. The record is from RNAcentral.
UACUCGAGUGGCGAACGGGUGAGUAACACGUGGGUGAUCUGCCCUGCACUUCGGGAUAAGCCUGGGAAACUGGGUCUAAUACCGGAUAGGAGCCAUUUUUAGUGUGAUGGUUGGAAAGUUUUUUCGGUGUAGGAUGAGCUCGCGGCCUAUCAGCUUGUUGGUGGGGUAACGGCCUACCAAGGCGGCGACGGGUAGCCGGCCUGAGAGGGUGGACGGCCACAUUGGGACUGAGAUACGGCCCAG